GUCUCUGCCAAUUCUUCGUGU
RNAcentral lists this microRNA (21 nucleotides) under Triticum aestivum (bread wheat). RNAcentral describes it as "tae-nsmR4". Lineage: Eukaryota; Viridiplantae; Streptophyta; Magnoliopsida; Poales; Poaceae. The record is from RNAcentral.